UACGAAGGGGGCUAGCGUUGCUCGGAAUCACUGGGCGUAAAGCGCACGUAGGCGGACUCUUAAGUCGGAGGUGAAAUCCUGGAGCUCAACUCCAGAACUGCCUUCGAUACUGGAAAGCUCGAGUCCGGGAGAGGUGAGUGGAACUGCGGGUGUAGAGGUGAAAUUCGUAGAUAUUCGCAAGAACACCAGUGGCGAAGGCGGCUCACUGGCCCGGUACUGACGCUGAGGUGCGAAAGCGUGGGGAGCAAACAGG
Molecule: ribosomal RNA, 253 nt
Filed under: uncultured bacterium
Lineage: Bacteria
Description: partial 16S ribosomal RNA
Rfam family: Bacterial small subunit ribosomal RNA
Source: RNAcentral